RNAcentral lists this long non-coding RNA (577 nucleotides) under Volvox carteri. RNAcentral describes it as "long non-coding RNA (VCAR_LNC003649)". Lineage: Eukaryota; Viridiplantae; Chlorophyta; Chlorophyceae; Chlamydomonadales; Volvocaceae. The record is from RNAcentral.
GCACCCCCCCAGUGCCACGGACCCAGCGCCCCUAUCACGCGUGCUGCCGUUAACGGCAGGGUUUACUCCCCCCCAUACUAAGCCCAACAUGCAAGGCGGACCCACCUGCUGCUUCUCCUGCCCCGGGCAGGUGCCUCCCAAGUGGCCAGCGCCCCCCGUCGUAGCCUGCAGUGGGUACACCACACAAGGGAACGAUACCGCACAAGCACAUACAUACAUGCAUACACACACGCGCGUUAACCAGGUUGGACCAUCACGUGAUAACGACGUGACGGGAGUCACAUCAGCGACGCACCCCCCCAGUGCCACGGACCCAGCGCCCCUAUCACGCAUGCUGCCGUUAACGGCAGGGUUUACCCCCCCCAUACUAAGCCCAACAUGCAAGGCGGACCCACCUGCUGCUUCUCCUGCCCCGGGCAGGUGCCUCCCAAGUGGCCAGCACCCCCCGUCGUAGCCUGCAGCGGGUACGCCACACAAGGGAACGAUACCGCACAAGCACAUACAUACAUGCAUACACACACGCGCGUUAACCAGGUUGGACCAUCACGUGAUAACGACGUGACGGGAGUCACAUCAG